Pogona vitticeps (central bearded dragon) is the source of this 3002-nucleotide long non-coding RNA. Lineage: Eukaryota; Metazoa; Chordata; Lepidosauria; Squamata; Agamidae. The record is from Ensembl.
GGUAAACCACUCUAUGCAUUCAGCCAAGUUGACUCCUGCCCCUGGACCUCUGCCACCAGAGUCCUGCCCUGGCCAUACUGCUGCUCUUCUGGGGGGGUGGGGUGGGGAAGCAAUCUGUCACCUGAGAAGACUUAAACAAUAAGGACUGGUUUCAGCAAAGCCUGAGGUCUAAUCAGGUAUAGCACAUUUCCAAGCAAUGAGAAGGGCAGCCUGCCGGUCCACCUCUUGGGUGUCACUCUGUUAAACAUAAAACACUCUCUUUAAUUAAUAUCUAGGCUUGACAUGAGCCAACAAAAGCGAGGAAACACAGUGCACAGAAAACAAAUCAUCCUUGAAAGCAGUGGGAGGAAGCCCCACAGUGGCAGCUGGAGGCUCAACCCACAUCCUGAAAUAGAUUCCAGCUUUGACAAGAAAGCGCCAUCAGUGGGGAGUCGUGCACCACAUCCAACACAUUCACGUCUGCCGCACUCGCUGAUCUAGGAAGGCUUUUUCUAGCAAGGAGUCAAGACACAAACAGAAACACAUCUGGUGUUUGCUGUCCCGCAUGUCCCUAUCCGUGCUAACCUUUCCUGAAACAGCCCAUCAGAAACAGGAGGGAGCAAUUUAGUGCAUCAUCAGGGUGCCUUUCCUUCCGAGUUUUAAGAACAAAGGCAUUAAGGUUGGCGGUCUGACAGCAGGUUUAUUCCAGCCAGAGGAGAAACACCCUAGCAAGAAAUGGGUUCGCUCAACAUGCGUGGAGUGCAGAGACUGCACACAACCAAGUUAGCUGAGUAGAAGACUAAAAAGCUACCCUGGCUUAUCUGCUGUGCCUGCACAGUGAGCCAGGAAAGAGGGAAUGUUCCGAAUGCAUCUGCUGCCAUCGUGGUCUGUGCUGUCACCAAAUCUAGCUCUGGCAUAUUGCCAAGAUACCCAUUCUCUUUCUCAGACCCACGGUCACUUGCCCUCUUUAAACUUGGCACAAAUUUCUCCAGUGUGACCUGUGCUCUUAGGCCAAUGCUCCUUUUAUUGAAACUGAAUCUAGAACAUUGAUUCUAGAAAACAAGGGGCUACUAAUGAAGGUACCCACAAAGAGCGAGUUCAUCUGCACUUUUGUAUCUUGAGAAACAUGUGAAGAUCUACACACACACACACACACACGGGAGGGGGAAUGCAAAACUAUUACAAUGUAAAAUGAGCUUUUGAAAACUGACGGGAAAAGAGACUUGUGCUGCUGAACACGUAACAGCAUAGUUGCACCCAUCCACUCAUCCAGUGCUGAUGAAAGGUGAGUGGGGAGAGGUUUUCCUUGUCCUCCCGCCUACCUGAAACAGCUGAUCUAUGGAAUUUAAACCAGAAGCAAAUAUGAGCAUAGGUCACAUUACGCUGACAGUGCAAACAGGAAAGGAAAACCUUGCAGAAAGAUGUGGCUUCAUCAGCCCUGUCCCUCUGUGCCAAAGGAGAUGGUUGUAUUUUGCAGGUUAGGAAAGGCUAAGGCUUAAAUCAUGUAGGUGAUUGGAAAAAUCACCACCAACCACCACCUUUAUCAUCUUAGAGUUGCAGAGCUGGAAGGCACCCUACGGAUCAUUGAGUCUAGCCCUUAUCAAGAAGGCACAACGAGGAAUUAAACUCCCAACCUCUGGUUCCAGAGAUCUAAACCACUGAGCUAUCCAACCAUGUCUUGAAAGAAAAUGGGAGGACAAUAAGGGGAGGCACUAGAAAAGUAAACAAUGUACUUGAAGUCCCCAGAUUCCAAAGCAAGCCCAUGAUAUUGGAUUGGUUGGGGGGUAGGCAAGCACAAAUGCACCCCAAUUUUUGCCAUGUGGAAAAACCUAGAAGGGUGAAAAAUGAGUUUAGCUAGCCUGUCAGUUCCAAUUUAUCAUAUAUGCCUUUCCCAGGUAUCAACACCAGAUGGCAAACAGAUAGAAGUGGAAACCUUCAUUUUUCUGAACCUUGUGAUGUAUUUGGGAGUGUCGGGGAGAAGACUACAUUUGGAAAAGAAAGGAGAAAAUGUCUAUAUUUGAAAAGUGUACACAAAUCUAUAUAUACCUGGUGGUGAUAUGCACAAGAUGAUUUCUGUGGGAAAGAAAUACUAUAUGCAUAUAGCUGAAAUAUUAUUCAUAGACUUGUGAAAAAAGGGUAUCAAUUUUGUGUGGACUAGAAAAAGUUGUAACCUAAUGAAAAAACCAGGACAGAUGCCACUCAACAGUGGAAAACCAGAAACCAGAAAGCUGAGUUUAACAGAUUCAUCAGCCCACAGUGAUGCAAUGUACAGUAUGGGAUCCGACUAAGGAAGCUAUACCUUCACUACCUCAUAGACGAAGUGACAGGGGAAAGCAACCAAGCAAAUUCCCUAUAGUAAUGAUACCAUCUUUGUAAGCAAGCACAGGAGAAACAGUGUGAUGUAGUGAUGGAAUGUGGGACUACAACCCAGGAGACCCAGGUUCAAAUCCAGGUUCGGCCAGGGAAACUCAGAGGGAUGGCCAGUACUGGUAAAUCUACUUUUUAAAUAUCUCCCAUGCCUUGAAAAUUCCAUUAGGUCACCAUAAGAUGGAUGUGAGUUACUGCACCUAAAAAAAACUUGUACGCACAACAUUUUCUAACAGAAAACCACUCAAAGCCACGCAAUGCACACACAAACACAGAGACAGAAAUCCAGCAUAGUGAUGGGUUGGUUUAGAUCGGUGUGCACUUCCACAUCGAACUACAAAGGAAACUUAAGUAUAUUUUAAAAUUAAACAACAUUAUCUUCAGGGAAAAAGGCACGCAGCCAUUUGCAGGUGAAUAGCAUAUUAUGAUUAGCGUCUCUCUCUCCAUCUGUCUCACCCCCUUCUCCUUUCCAGCUCCUUUUUCACUUGGCUCCUCUGGGCUAAGAGUGCAUCUUUCCUUUUACAUUUUUGUUUUUAUUUUAAAACUGGUCAGGAUGUUUUAGCAUCGCCUAGAGCGACUAACUCUUUCUAAUCCCUUGCGAUCUCAUCAGCCUUCCCUCUAAUAAAACAUGUAGGUUCUCAUUUGAGCUAAUAAAG